AAGUCGUAACAAGGUUUCCGUAGGUGAACCUGCGGAAGGAUCAUUAUUGAACAAUCAAACCAAUGUAGACUGUGCUGAAGCUGGCCUUUCGAGGCAUGUGCACGCCAGUUUGCAAUUGUUCUCCAUCCACCUGUGAACAUUUUGUAGACUCAUAAGGCGUCAAAACACCUGCAAGGGUGUUGUGAGGGGGAAACCCUUCAGCGACUUGUAGUCUAUGUUUUAUAAACUCGAACGAAUGUCAUAGAAUGUCUUGUUAUAUUCAAACACAAUAUAACUUUCAGCAACGGAUCUCUUGGCUCUC
RNAcentral lists this unclassified non-coding RNA (301 nucleotides) under air metagenome. RNAcentral's name for it is "partial contains small subunit ribosomal RNA, internal transcribed spacer 1, and 5.8S ribosomal RNA". The stretch from base 1 to 46 matches the Rfam family "Eukaryotic small subunit ribosomal RNA", at positions 1786 to 1831 of the family's 1831-position model. The record is from RNAcentral.